Molecule: ribosomal RNA, 253 nt
Filed under: uncultured bacterium
Lineage: Bacteria
Description: partial 16S ribosomal RNA
Rfam family: Bacterial small subunit ribosomal RNA
Source: RNAcentral
AACGUAGGAGGCAAGCGUUAUCCGGAGUUACUGGGCGUAAAGCGCGUGUAGGCGGCUCGGUAAGUGGGUCGUGAAAGCGCCCGGCUAAACUGGGCGAGGACGAUCGAGACUGCCAGGCUAGAGGGUGGUAGAGGGACAGGGAAUUCCGGGUGUAGCGGUGAAAUGUGUAGAGAUCCGGAGGAACACCGAUGGCGAAGGCAGCCUCCUGGGCCAAUACUGACGCUCAUGCACGAAAGCGUGGGGAGCAAACAGG